Molecule: ribosomal RNA, 416 nt
Filed under: alpha proteobacterium SCGC AAA027-M06
Lineage: Bacteria; Pseudomonadati; Pseudomonadota; Alphaproteobacteria
Also listed under: 2 other names
Description: bacterial SSU rRNA
Rfam family: Bacterial small subunit ribosomal RNA
Source: RNAcentral
GUGGGGAAUCUUGCACAAUGGAGGAAACUCUGAUGCAGCGAUGCCGCGUGAGUGAAGAAGGCCUUUGGGUUGUAAAGCUCUUUUGUAGGGGAAGAUAAUGACUGUACCCUAAGAAUAAGGUCCGGCUAACUUCGUGCCAGCAGCCGCGGUAAUACGAAGGGACCUAGCGUAGUUCGGAAUUACUGGGCGUAAAGCGCGCGUAGGCCGUUGAGUUAGUUAAUUGUGAAAUCCCAAAGCUUAACUUUGGAACUGCAAUUAAAACUGCUCGACUAGAGUUUGAUAGAGGAAAGCGGAAUACAUAGUGUAGAGGUGAAAUUCGUAGAUAUUAUGUAGAACACCAGUUGCGAAGGCGGCUUUCUGGAUCAACACUGACGCUGAGGCGCGAAAGUAUGGGUAGCAAAGAGGAUUAGAUACCC